CAGCCGCCGCGGUAAUACGUAGGGUGCGAGCGUUAAUCGGAAUUACUGGGCGUAAAGCGUGCGCAGGCGGUUCGUUAAGACAGAUGUGAAAUCCCCGGGCUUAACCUGGGAACUGCAUUUGUGACUGGCGAGCUAGAGUAUGGCAGAGGGGGGUAGAAUUCCACGUGUAGCAGUGAAAUGCGUAGAGAUGUGGGGGAAUACCGAUGGCGAAGGCAGCCCCCUGGGCCAAUACUGACGCUCAUGCACGAAAGCGUGGGGAGCAAACAGGAUUAGAUACCCCCGUAGUCCCUGUCUCUUAUAC
This 301-nucleotide ribosomal RNA is filed under the name uncultured bacterium. RNAcentral describes it as "partial 16S ribosomal RNA". It matches the Rfam family "Bacterial small subunit ribosomal RNA", at positions 509 to 807 of the family's 1533-position model. The record is from RNAcentral.